GCAGUCGAACGCACUCUCGUUUAGAUUGAAGGAGCUUGCUCCUGAUUGAUAAACAUUUGAGUGAGUGGCGGACGGGUGAGUAACACGUGGGUAACCUGCCCUAAAGUGGGGGAUAACAUUUGGAAACAGAUGCUAAUACCGCAUAAAACCUAACACCGCAUGGUGUAGGGUUGAAAGAUGGUUUCGGCUAUCACUUUAGGAUGGACCCGCGGUGCAUUAGUUAGUUGGUGAGGUAAAGGCUCACCAAGACCGUGAUGCAUAGCCGACCUGAGAGGGUAAUCGGCCACACUGGGACUGAGACACGGCCCAGACUCCUACGGGAGGCAGCAGUAGGGAAUCUUCCACAAUGGACGAAAGUCUGAUGGAGCAACGCCGCGUGAGUGAAGAAGGUUUUCGGAUCGUAAAACUCUGUUGUUGGAGAAGAAUGUAUCUGAUAGUAACUGAUCAGGUAGUGACGGUAUCCAACCAGAAAGCCACGGCUAACUACGUGCCAGCAGCCGCGGUAAUACGUAGGUGGCAAGCGUUGUCCGGAUUUAUUGGGCGUAAAGCGAGCGCAGGCGGUUUCUUAAGUCUGAUGUGAAAGCCUUCGGCUCAACCGAAGAAGUGCAUCGGAAACUGGGAAACUUGAGUGCAGAAGAGGACAGUGGAACUCCAUGUGUAGCGGUGAAAUGCGUAGAUAUAUGGAAGAACACCAGUGGCGAAGGCGGCUGUCUGGUCUGUAACUGACGCUGAGGCUCGAAAGCAUGGGUAGCAAACAGGAUUAGAUACCCUGGUAGUCCAUGCCGUAAACGAUGAGUGCUAGGUGUUGGAGGGUUUCCGCCCUUCAGUGCCGCAGCUAACGCAUUAAGCACUCCGCCUGGGGAGUACGACCGCAAGGUUGAAACUCAAAGGAAUUGACGGGGGCCCGCACAAGCGGUGGA
Molecule: ribosomal RNA, 920 nt
Filed under: Latilactobacillus sakei
Lineage: Bacteria; Bacillati; Bacillota; Bacilli; Lactobacillales; Lactobacillaceae
Description: bacterial SSU rRNA
Rfam family: Bacterial small subunit ribosomal RNA
Source: RNAcentral